GAUGAACGCUGGCGGCGUGCCUAAUACAUGCAAGUCGAGCGAACGGACGAGAAGCUUGCUUCUCUGAUGUUAGCGGCGGACGGGUGAGUAACACGUGGAUAACCUACCUAUAUGACUGGGAUAAUUUCGGGAAACCGGAGCUAAUACCGGAUAAUAUUUUGAACCGCAUGGUUCAAAAGUAAAAGACGGUUUUGCUGUCACUUAUAGCUGGAUCCGCGCUGCAUUAGCUAGUUGGUAAGGUAACGGCUUACCAAGGCAACGAUGCAUAGCCGAUCUGAGAGGGUGAUCAGCCACACUGGAACUGAGACACGGUCCAGACUCCUACGGGAGGCAGCAGUAGGGAAUCUUCCGCAAUGGGCGAAAGCCUGACGGAGCAACGCCGCGUGAGUGAUGAAGGUCUUCGGAUCGUAAAGCUCUGUUAUUAGGGAAGAACAUAUGUGUAAGUAACUGUGCACGUCUUGACGGUACCUAAUCAGAAAGCCACGGCUAACUACGUG
RNAcentral lists this ribosomal RNA (497 nucleotides) under uncultured bacterium. RNAcentral's name for it is "partial 16S ribosomal RNA". It matches the Rfam family "Bacterial small subunit ribosomal RNA", at positions 28 to 507 of the family's 1533-position model. The record is from RNAcentral.